GACGAACGCUGGCGGCGUGCUUAACACAUGCAAGUCGUACGGUAAGGCCCUUUCGGGGGUACACGAGUGGCGAACGGGUGAGUAACACGUGAGUAACCUGCCCACAACUUUGGGAUAACGCUAGGAAACUGGUGCUAAUACUGGAUAUGUGCUCCUGCUGCAUGGUGGGGGUUGGAAAGCUCCGGCGGUUGUGGAUGGACUCGCGGCCUAUCAGCUUGUUGGUGGGGUAGUGGCCUACCAAGGCGGCGACGGGUAGCCGGCCUGAGAGGGUGACCGGCCACAUUGGGACUGAGAUACGGCCCAGACGCCGACGGGAGGCAGCAGUGGGGAAUAUUGAACAAUGGGCGCAAGCCUGAUGCAGCAACGCCGCGGGCGGGAUGACGGCCUUCGGGUUGUAAACCGCUUUCAGCAGGGACGAAGCUUUUUGUGACGGUACCUGCAGAAGAAGCACCGGCUAACUACGUG
RNAcentral lists this ribosomal RNA (465 nucleotides) under uncultured bacterium. Its description in RNAcentral is "partial 16S ribosomal RNA". It matches the Rfam family "Bacterial small subunit ribosomal RNA", at positions 28 to 507 of the family's 1533-position model. The record is from RNAcentral.